This 120-nucleotide ribosomal RNA is filed under the name Scophthalmus maximus (turbot). Lineage: Eukaryota; Metazoa; Chordata; Actinopteri; Pleuronectiformes; Scophthalmidae. The record is from RNAcentral.
GCUUACGGCCACACCGGCCUGGUUCACGCCCGAUCUCGUUUGAUCUCGGAAGCUAAAAUAGGUUGGGCCUGGUUAGUACUUGGAUGGGAGACCGCCUGGGAAUACCAGGUGCUGUAAGCU